This 272-nucleotide ribosomal RNA is filed under the name uncultured bacterium. RNAcentral's name for it is "partial 16S ribosomal RNA". It matches the Rfam family "Bacterial small subunit ribosomal RNA", at positions 524 to 791 of the family's 1533-position model. The record is from RNAcentral.
UACGAAGGGGGCUAGCGUUGUUCGGAAUUACUGGGCGUAAAGCGCACGUAGGCGGAUUGUUAAGUUAGGGGUGAAAUCCCAGGGCUCAACCCUGGAACUGCCUUUAAUACUGGCAAUCUCGAGUCCGAGAGAGGUGAGUGGAAUUCCGAGUGUAGAGGUGAAAUUCGUAGAUAUUCGGAGGAACACCAGUGGCGAAGGCGGCUCACUGGCUCGGUACUGACGCUCAGGCGCGGACAGCGUGGGGAUCGAAACAAGGAUUGAGAAACCCCCGG